CUCGAAAGUCUUGAUCAGCACUAAGAAUUUAAGCUGUAAUAUUGGGGCUAAUGCCUGUGGCACCUGAGUAAACCACCACAGCUUAACUAUAAUAGCCUAAAUCUCAAGGUGCUUGGGAAUGAAUAUUCUUGAGAAUGAUAACAAUAUUACAGCUUAAAUUCUUAUCGCCCGUCAAAACUUUUGAAAGGAUCCGCCGUAUUCGUGAGAAGGAUAAUUUUCCUCACACCAAAAAUGCACAGAAG
Molecule: small RNA, 242 nt
Filed under: Histoplasma ohiense
Lineage: Eukaryota; Fungi; Ascomycota; Eurotiomycetes; Onygenales; Ajellomycetaceae
Description: hypothetical lncRNA
Source: RNAcentral